ACACUUCCUCAGGGGAUGCAGAAUAAAAUUUAAUAAGGAAUGGACCCGCUCCAGUAUACGUGACCAGCCGGAAGCUGGAAGCUCUCUGUGGGACGUGUGGCCUCCGUGUGAACUCAUGAUGGAUGGGCCCACCAGUCAAUUAUCCUUCCACACUGGGAACUCUGGCCGUCACCGAAACUUUGCCAUAAUCCAGUUCUACGAAGUAUUGACAUCUUGCUAAGUGGACCUACUAAAUAAUGAGGAAAAGAUGAAGCUUAUAAAGAAUAUUGACUUUGUGACCAAUUCAAGACCUGUUACCACUAUCCAUUGUGUGUCGGCUCUUAACCUCUGUUUGCUCGAUUCCUCAUUUCUGCAAGGGGGCGUAUAAAGUUGGUAAGAGAAUGGAGUGAGUUGGUAAUUGGAACAGUGCCCGAGACAUGAUAAGUGUUCAAUAAGUAUUACAUACUAUUACAUAAUAAAUAUUGCAAUUAAAGAUCAAUUUUACUACCUUUAACGUUUUCUGAUGGUAGCAGCUAAGAUGUAAGGGUUUAAUGUAGAUCCUUGCAGAUUUCUCUGACUGGGAUCCUGAUCUAUUUGUUUAUUCCUUAUAUUUUUCUUUAUAUAUUUCUUUUCUAUGUUUUAAAAUAAACAUUGUUUUAAAAAUUUGCCCUAACCCUUUUGUUUAAAGUUGUUUUUUUUUUUAACCAGACAUUUCUUUAAGUAAAACAUGGCUAGCUAGAGAUAACAUCGAAAUAAAGAGCAAUAAUUUCAUAGAACAGUGGUUCUUAAGUCUUUUUGGGUUAUUGAUCCCUUUGAGAAUUGGAUGAAAGCUCUCCCCUAAAAAAUGCACAUGUAAACACACACACACACGCAUACACACAUACACAAGCACACACACAAUUUUGAUUAUAAUUAGGGGGAGUUUGUGGAUCCCGAAAACCAACCAAUAAAUCCACCAGGCAGCCGUGAAAAUAAGCCUUGAAUUGAUUGCAAAGUGUACAUUCUUCCUUUUUAAAAGAUUUUAUUUUUUUAAGUAGUUUCUAUACCCAGCAAGGGGCUCGAACUCA
This is a long non-coding RNA of Mustela erminea (ermine), 1046 nucleotides long. RefSeq lists it as uncharacterized. The transcript is spliced from 3 exons. NCBI's taxonomy places the organism in Eukaryota, Metazoa, Chordata, Mammalia, Carnivora, Mustelidae. The record is from RefSeq and is a predicted model, not a curated record.